Molecule: ribosomal RNA, 253 nt
Filed under: uncultured bacterium
Lineage: Bacteria
Description: partial 16S ribosomal RNA
Rfam family: Bacterial small subunit ribosomal RNA
Source: RNAcentral
UACGUAGGGGGCUAGCGUUGUCCGGAAUCAUUGGGCGUAAAGCGCGUGUAGGCGGUUCGGUAAGUCCGCUGUGAAAGUCGGGGGCUCAACCCUCGGAUGCCGGUGGAUACUGUCGGACUAGAGUACGGAAGAGGCGAGUGGAAUUCCUGGUGUAGCGGUGAAAUGCGCAGAUAUCGGGAGGAACACCUAUGGCGAAGGCAGCUCGCUGGGACGUUACUGACGCUGAGACGCGAAAGCGUGGGGAGCAAACAGG